GCUGCACCCGCGUGUUUAAAAAUGUUUACACCCGAAACUCCACUACGUCCACAGAAGCAAAAACGUUUGCAAAUGUACAGACGUGAGUAGGAAGAGUGGAACCCCUGGCAGUGGGUAAAAGGCAAACUGUUCUGUGUUGGUCAUUGACUGGCUGAAGUAAGGCAGCAUCAGGAGACCAACAUGUAAGAAACAUGAGAACAGAGAGAACCCAACCAGCAGGUCACAGUUUAUCAUCAUCUAAUCAUCUCCUGAAGUCCAUAUGAACCUUUAAAAAGAUGUUCCAGCCCAAGGGGACUCUUUUGGCUGCAACACCUGUGGUGACAACAGAGAGGCCUCUCCAGGAUUUUCACCCAAUGCUACUGAGAGAAGCACAUGGCAGCACAUGCCAGCAUCAAAACCGCACUCAAUAAAUCAAUAAAACAGUCAUUGUCUUGUGUUUCAUGUUGUGAGUAUGAACUCC
Long non-coding RNA from Amphiprion ocellaris (clown anemonefish), 460 nucleotides. RefSeq lists it as uncharacterized. The record is from RefSeq and is a predicted model, not a curated record. The transcript has 3 exons. Lineage: Eukaryota; Metazoa; Chordata; Actinopteri; Pomacentridae.